RNAcentral lists this non-coding RNA (22 nucleotides) under Arabidopsis thaliana (thale cress). The record is from RNAcentral. Lineage: Eukaryota; Viridiplantae; Streptophyta; Magnoliopsida; Brassicales; Brassicaceae.
CCUUGUGGGUAACGGGGGUGGA